CCCAUGCUCUCGAAAGAGUUCAGUGGCUUCAAAGUUGCUGACAAAUUGACAAACUAUGACAGUUGUAAUGACUUACUCUACUCUCAGGAAAUGUUUGGACUUUGAUAUUACCAUUUUCUGGAGACCACAAAUGGACCUGCUCUGGCUUCACCUUACCAGAAGCAAGCUGAGGUAAAAUAGGAAGAAUUUGAAAGGGAAAGAAAUUUCUCUUUUAAAUGCCCUGGAAUCAAUCAUCUUUGUGUGGUCAAAGCAAAUGUUCUAAUGAAACCACUCACAGGAAGGAUGGGAAAGAUCCUCUAUCAGGAGCCAGAGCCCAACGGGAGAUUUACAUAAUAAAGCCUCAUUUCAUCUUUGAAAUCUUUUGAGGCGAUUUUGAACUAUGGUACAGCUCGUAUCUCAGAAACACAACUUCUUCUUAGCUUUGCCAUCUCCCAGGUAAAUGCUAUGCUAAUGGCAAGGUAAAAAUUGGGAUGUUUUCAGACUGACUGCCGGUGGGUGCUAUAAUCAUCAGUGGUUCCUGAAGAAGAGCUGCCUUGGCCCCUUUGGUUUCUAGGAUGUUCUUCAAGAGAGAAAAAGCAUAAAUCAUUUUAAGUUUCAUCACAGGGUCAGAACUUUGGAGCCACCUGAUGUGGCUUUUGUCUGGAAGUUGUUGCAUGUACUUCCGUGUUUGUUCUUUUAAACCGUUGUCCAGCAAAAUCUAUUCUUGAGCCUUGCCACCAUUACCAAUGCCAAGCCAAGAACCAAGCUGGCCUCCCGAUGCCUUUCUAGGGAAUCAGCCAAUUCUAGGAACCCUCAGAGCCAUAGAAUACUAGAAGGACUAGAGUGAGCUUAGUCUCCUACAUUUUGAAAAAGAUAAAAGGAGGAUUUGACUGGCCCAGAGUCCAACUGCACCCUAACACUAUAAUCCUACCCAGAAGCUGGGUCUUGGUAUCACCCCACCAAAGGCCUCGUCCUUAGGCUUUGCUAAUGGUCUAGCUUUCGUAGGCUAAAGACAACUUCACAGGACUCACUGGUGUUAUGAUAGGCAUCAGGAAGCCUUCUUUUAUUGAAAAUGUAUUUAGUGUGGGACAGAAUCCAAUUUCCUACAACAUGUAAAUUACCUACGCUGAAGUACUUGUACGUAUAAACUUAUAAGGCCUUCCUUUACCUUUGGGUUAACACAGACGUUGGUGCAUGUUAAGAGAAUUUAAAUAUUAUUUACUUUAAUGCCUUAAUUUUACAGGUUAAAAAAAAAGAGAGCGAAAACAGAAGAAAUAGCCGGUAUAUGGCAGAGACAUUUUGACGCUUCCUCCACAAUUCCUUACAUGAUUAUGUUCAGAGAGCCCAGAAAUUAGGAAGAAGCCAUAUACAUGUUUUACUUCAAUGGCUUAGUCCCAGGGUCAACCGGUGAAUGGGGAUGGCAUGAUAAUAUUUGACAUCCGGUUUCGGGGGGACUUUGUUUCAUUAAAAAUUGAUUUUUUUU
Long non-coding RNA from Leptonychotes weddellii (Weddell seal), 1462 nucleotides. RefSeq lists it as uncharacterized. The record is from RefSeq and is a predicted model, not a curated record. Lineage: Eukaryota; Metazoa; Chordata; Mammalia; Carnivora; Phocidae.